UACGUAGGGUGCGAGCGUUGUCCGGAAUUAUUGGGCGUAAAGAGCUCGUAGGCGGUGUGUUACGUCGGCCGUGAAAACCUGCAGCUUAACUGUGGGCGUGCGGUCGAUACGGGCAUCACUGGAGUUCGGCAGGGGAGACUGGAAUUCCUGGUGUAGCGGUGAAAUGCGCAGAUAUCAGGAGGAACACCGGUGGCGAAGGCGGGUCUCUGGGCCGAUACUGACGCUGAGGAGCGAAAGCGUGGUGAGCAAACAGG
This 254-nucleotide ribosomal RNA is filed under the name uncultured bacterium. Its description in RNAcentral is "partial 16S ribosomal RNA". It matches the Rfam family "Bacterial small subunit ribosomal RNA", at positions 524 to 776 of the family's 1533-position model. The record is from RNAcentral.